RNAcentral lists this long non-coding RNA (363 nucleotides) under Brassica napus (rape). RNAcentral describes it as "long non-coding RNA (BNAP_LNC018340)". The record is from RNAcentral. Lineage: Eukaryota; Viridiplantae; Streptophyta; Magnoliopsida; Brassicales; Brassicaceae.
UCUGUUGAUGUAGACUUGAACUGUGUUGGUGUUCGAUUUCAUGGUAUGUUAUCAUAAAUUCUAUGCCCUCACUUUUUGAGUCAUUAAAAUUAUCUUGAUGGUCUGUGAUAGAUGGUAGUUCGAAAUCAAUGAUAGAUUGUUGUGUGUUGGGCCUGUUGAUGUAGACUUUGAGUGUGCGCCGGGGAUUUGCUCCUUAAGAUCUUGUUUGGUGUGAGAACUCAUAAGACAAAAGUGGUUCGUCAUUCAUUCUUUGGUUAUUUGUAUGAGUUCAAAGUUGUAAGAAGUAUAAGGUGUUAUAGCUAUAUUUUUUUUAUAGAUGGUGAGUUUAAAUUAUCGAUUUUCUUGAUUUCUUGUAACAUUUUG